This 395-nucleotide long non-coding RNA is filed under the name Mustela putorius furo (domestic ferret). Its description in RNAcentral is "lncRNA (ENSMPUG00000026633.1)". The record is from RNAcentral. Lineage: Eukaryota; Metazoa; Chordata; Mammalia; Carnivora; Mustelidae.
CUGAGGGGGGCGGGGGCGGGGGGGGGAGGGCAACGCCUCCUCUAAUGUUGGCCAGGUGCUGCCCCCCAGCUGCCUGGAGUGAGCGGGAGAGGAGUGAGAAACACUGCCCACAGCUUUGAGUAUCAUCACAGCCAGAAAAGUGCUGGUGUUGGUCUCCAAGGAUGCACACCCCGAGUAUCUCUGCUACCUCCAAGACUCAUUGAGACCCUGGAAGAACACCGCCCUGGUUCAGUCCCGGCUUCUGCUCUUGCCCUGUUGUUCUGCGGGUAUGUUCGCAGCAUGCCUCUGGACCCGCCACCAGAAUUCUGACAACCUCAUCAUAUUGUGGAAGGGUAAAAAAGUAUAGCUAGUGUCCCUCCAAGCCAUUGGGAAGAAAGAAAGAGGGCCAGCUCCUU